CCUACGGGUGGCAGCAGUGGGGAAUAUUGCACAAUGGGGGCAACCCUGAUGCAGCAAAGCCGCGUGAGUGAGGAAGUAUUUCGGUAUGUAAAGCUCUAUCAGCAGGGAAUAGAAAAGAAGGUACCUGAAAAAGCAGCGCCGGCUAACUACGUGACAGCAGCCGCGGUAAUACGUAGGGGGCAAGCGUUAUCCGGAUUUACUGGGGGUAAAGGGAGCGUAGACGGAAAGGCAAGUCAGAAGUGAAAACCCAAGGCUCAACCAUGUGACUGCUUUUGAACCUGUCAAACUAGAGUACGGGAGAGGUAAGCGGAAUUCCUGGUGUAGCGGUGAAAUGCGUAGAUAUUAGGAGGAACACCAGUGGCGAAGGCGGCUUACGGGACCUAAACUGACGUUGAGGCUCGAAAGCGUGGGGAGCAAACAGGAUUAGAUACCCGAGUAGUC
RNAcentral lists this ribosomal RNA (441 nucleotides) under uncultured bacterium. RNAcentral describes it as "partial 16S ribosomal RNA". It matches the Rfam family "Bacterial small subunit ribosomal RNA", at positions 338 to 795 of the family's 1533-position model. The record is from RNAcentral.